GCUUAACACAUGCAAGUCGAACGGUCUCUUCGGAGAUAGUGGCGGACGGGUGAGUAACGCGUAAGAAUCUACCUAUAGGUUCGGGACAACAGUUAGAAAUGACUGCUAAUACCGGAUAUGCCUUCGGGUGAAAGUUUUAAUGCCUGUAGAUGAGCUUGCGUCCGAUUAGCUAGAUGGAGUGGUAACGGCACACCAUGGCGACGAUCGGUAACUGGUCUGAGAGGAUGACCAGUCACACUGGAACUGAGACACGGUCCAGACUCCUACGGGAGGCAGCAGUGGGGAAUUUUCCGCAAUGGGCGAAAGCCUGACGGAGCAAUACCGCGUGAGGGACGAAGGUCUGUGGAUUGUAAACCUCUUUUGUUAGGGAAGAUAAUGACGGUACCUAACGAAUAAGCAUCGGCUAACUCCGUGCCAGCAGCCGCGGUAAGACGGAGGAUGCAAGCGUUAUCCGGAAUUAUUGGGCGUAAAGCGUACGUAGGCUGUUAGAUAAGUCUGUUGUCAAAGAGCGAGGCUUAACCUCGUAAAGGCAAUGGAAACUGUCUGACUAGAGAGAGAAAGGGGCAGGAGGAAUUCCAGGUGUAGCGGUGAAAUGCGUAGAUAUCUGGAAGAACACCAGUGGCGAAAGCGUCCUGCUGGAUCUCAACUGACGCUGAAGUACGAAAGCUAGGGGAGCGAAUGGGAUUAGAUACCCCAGUAGUCCUAGCCGUAAACGAUGGGUACUAGGUGUUGGCCGUAUCGACCCGGUCAGUGCCGUAGCUAACGCGUUAAGUACCCCGCCUGGGGAGUACGGUCGCAAGAUUGAAACUCAAAGGAAUUGACGGGGGCCCGCACAAGCGGUGGAGUAUGUGGUUUAAUUCGAUGCAACGCGAAGAACCUUACCAAGGCUUGACAUGUCGUGAAUCCUCUUGAAAGGG
This 917-nucleotide ribosomal RNA is filed under the name uncultured cyanobacterium. RNAcentral's name for it is "bacterial SSU rRNA". It matches the Rfam family "Bacterial small subunit ribosomal RNA", at positions 46 to 1009 of the family's 1533-position model. The record is from RNAcentral. Lineage: Bacteria; Bacillati; Cyanobacteriota.